AUGCAGUCGACGAUGAUCCGGUGCUUGCGCCGGGGAUUAGUGGCGAACGGGUGAGUAACACGUGAGUAACCUGCCCUUGACUCUGGGAUAAGCCUGGGAAACUGGGUCUAAUACCGGAUAUGACUCCUCAUCGCAUGGUGGGGGGUGGAAAGCUUUUUGUGGUUUUGGAUGGACUCGCGGCCUAUCAGCUUGUUGGUGGGGUAAUGGCCUACCAAGGCGACGACGGGUAGCCGGCCUGAGAGGGUGACCGGCCACACUGGGACUGAGACACGGCCCAGACUCCUACGGGAGGCAGCAGUGGGGAAUAUUGCACAAUGGGCGAAAGCCUGAUGCAGCGACGCCGCGUGAGGGAUGACGGCCUUCGGGUUGUAAACCUCUUUCAGUAGG
This 387-nucleotide ribosomal RNA is filed under the name Arthrobacter sp. VA1. RNAcentral describes it as "bacterial SSU rRNA". It matches the Rfam family "Bacterial small subunit ribosomal RNA", at positions 55 to 443 of the family's 1533-position model. Lineage: Bacteria; Bacillati; Actinomycetota; Actinomycetes; Micrococcales; Micrococcaceae. The record is from RNAcentral.